Long non-coding RNA from Rana temporaria (common frog), 353 nucleotides. RefSeq lists it as uncharacterized. The transcript has 2 exons. Lineage: Eukaryota; Metazoa; Chordata; Amphibia; Anura; Ranidae. The record is from RefSeq and is a predicted model, not a curated record.
CCACUGGAAUGGGGACAGUGGUGGUAGGAGCGCGGUGGGGUACAGGUGCCUGUUCUGGUUGUUGCUGCUGGUGAGAUGGGAACCGAGAGACAGGAAGCAGAUGAUGCAGGUUUGCAGACUUAGUAGAUGCAGGUCAGCAGAGCGUGGAUGCAGGUCAGCAGAGCCGAGGAUGCAGGUUAGCAGAGGCGUGGAUGCAGGUUAGCAGAGGCGUGGAUGCAGGUUAGCAGCGCAGCAGGUGCAGGUGAGCGGAGUCAGGCAGGCCGGGUCAAACACUUGGAGUCAUAGCAGAAGCAAUAGGCAGAAGAGUAGUCAGUCCAGGCCAGGUCUUGGCAACGGGUAUUCAAGCAGGGAAC